This 57-nucleotide transfer RNA is filed under the name Heterocephalus glaber (naked mole-rat). It matches the Rfam family "tRNA", at positions 8 to 63 of the family's 71-position model. From Rfam's summary of the family: Transfer RNA (tRNA) molecules are approximately 80 nucleotides in length. Their secondary structure includes four short double-helical elements and three loops (D, anti-codon, and T loops). Lineage: Eukaryota; Metazoa; Chordata; Mammalia; Rodentia; Bathyergidae. The record is from Rfam by way of RNAcentral.
UAGCUCAAUGUUGGAGCACUUGCCUGGCAUGCAUGAAGCCCUGGGUUCAAUCCCUAG